GUGCCAGCCGCCGCGGUAAUACCGGCAGCUCAAGUGAUGUCCCAUAUUAUUGGGCCUAAAGCGUCCGUAGCUGGCCGAACAAGUCCGUCGGGAAAUCCACGUGCUUAACACGUGGGCGACCGGUAGAAACUGGCCGGCUUGGAACCGGAAGGCUCAGAGAGUACGUCCGGGGUAGGAGUGAAAUCCCGUAAUCCCGGACGGACUACCGAUGGCGAAAGCACUCUGAGAAGACGGCUUCGACAGUGAGGGACGAAAGCUCGGGUCUCAAACCGGAUUAGAAACCCCUGUAGUCC
Molecule: ribosomal RNA, 293 nt
Filed under: uncultured bacterium
Lineage: Bacteria
Description: partial 16S ribosomal RNA
Rfam family: Archaeal small subunit ribosomal RNA
Source: RNAcentral